AUUGAACGCUGGCGGCAGGCUUAACACAUGCAAGUCGAGCGGGGGAAGGUAGCUUGCUACCGGACCUAGCGGCGGACGGGUGAGUAAUGCUUAGGAAUCUGCCUAUUAGUGGGGGACAACAUCUCGAAAGGGAUGCUAAUACCGCAUACGUCCUACGGGAGAAAGCAGGGGAUCUCCGGCCCUUGCGCUAAUAGAUGAGCCUAAGUCGAAUUAGCUAGUUGGUGGGGUAAAGGCCUACCAAGGCGACGAUCUGUAGCGGGUCUGAGAGGACGACCCGCCACACUGGGACUGAGACACGGCCCAGACUCCUACGGGAGGAAGCAGUGGGGAGUAUUGGACAAUGUGGGGAACCCUGUUCCAGCCAUGCCGCGUGUGUGAUGAAGGCCUUAUGGUUGUAAAGCCCUUUAAGCGAGGAGGAGGCUACUUUAGUUAAUACCUAGAGAUAGUGGACGUUACUCGCAGAAUAAGCACCGGCUAACUCUGUGCCAGCCGCCGCGGUAA
Molecule: ribosomal RNA, 501 nt
Filed under: uncultured bacterium
Lineage: Bacteria
Description: partial 16S ribosomal RNA
Rfam family: Bacterial small subunit ribosomal RNA
Source: RNAcentral